This 253-nucleotide ribosomal RNA is filed under the name uncultured bacterium. RNAcentral describes it as "partial 16S ribosomal RNA". It matches the Rfam family "Bacterial small subunit ribosomal RNA", at positions 524 to 776 of the family's 1533-position model. The record is from RNAcentral.
GACGGAGGAUGCAAGCGUUAUCCGGAAUGAUUGGGCGUAAAGCGUCCGCAGGUGGCAGUUCAAGUCUGCUGUCAAAGACCGGGGCUUAACUUCGGAAAGGCAGUGGAAACUGAACAGCUAGAGUAUGGUAGGGGCAGAGGGAAUUCCUGGUGUAGCGGUGAAAUGCGUAGAGAUCAGGAAGAACAUCGGUGGCGAAGGCGCUCUGCUGGACCAUAACUGACACUCAGGGGCGAAAGCUAGGGGAGCGAACAGG